Molecule: unclassified non-coding RNA, 392 nt
Filed under: soil metagenome
Description: partial contains 5.8S ribosomal RNA, internal transcribed spacer 2, and large subunit ribosomal RNA
Rfam family: 5.8S ribosomal RNA (bases 1-122)
Source: RNAcentral
GAUGAAGAACGUAGCGAAAUGCGAUAAGUAAUGUGAAUUGCAGAAUCCCGUGAACCAUCGAGUCUUUGAACGCAAGUUGCGCCCGAAGCCACUAGGCCGAGGGCACGCCUGCCUGGGCGUCACACGUCGUUGCCCCCCCCCAUCUACUCCUUCGGGAUUGCGGGGGGCGGAUGAUGGCCUCCCGUGCGCCUAGCCGCGCGGUUGGCAUAAAUACCAAGUCCUCGGCGACGCACGCCACGACAAUCGGUGGUUGCGAAACCUCGGUUGCCCGUCGUGUGCGUUCGUCGCGCAUCGAGGGCUCGAAAAAAUGCUCGGCUCCGGCUCGGCUUUCAACGCGACCCCAGGUCAGGCGGGGUUACCCGCUGAAUUUAAGCAUAUCAAUAAGCGGAGGA